Molecule: long non-coding RNA, 498 nt
Organism: Rhincodon typus (whale shark)
Lineage: Eukaryota; Metazoa; Chordata; Chondrichthyes; Orectolobiformes; Rhincodontidae
Exons: 3
Source: RefSeq, a predicted model, not a curated record
ACUAAAGAAGGGUCUAGGCCCGAAACGUCAGCCUUUCUGCUCCUACGAUGCUGCUUGGCCUGCUGUGUUCAUCCAGCUCUGCACCUUGUUGUCAUGUGAUCGUCCUCGCGCGCAGUGCUGUAUCGUUGUGACCAAGAUUUGGGAGUGUGUGGAAAGUGCAGGGCACGCGAUACCAUUGCCAAAGCCUUGUUGCCUGUGGAAAAGGUGAUGUUUGACCUUCUUGUACUGCUGCAGUUCGUGCGGUAAAGGUGCUCCCACAAUGCGGUUAGAUUUCCACAAUUUUACUUCUGCACUAUUCUUAGUCUUUCAGAGGGAUCGAAAGAUUGAGUUACAGAUCUAUACAAUGCCUGUCCUUCCUGGCUCUUCCACCUCUCUCUUUCGGUAGUUUUGUGCAAACACUGACUGGAUCCCUUACCUGGAGGAUAUUUACGAAUGAAUUUGUUCUAAUGAUAAUCCAGCAUAUUCCCCAAGUGUCGCUCCACAAAUGUUCAGAGAAUU